ACACAUGCAAGUCGAACGAAGCACUUAAGUUUGAUUCUUCGGAUGAAGACUUUUGUGACUGAGUGGCGGACGGGUGAGUAACGCGUGGGUAACCUGCCUCAUACAGGGGGAUAACAGUUAGAAAUGACUGCUAAUACCGCAUAAGACCACAGCACCGCAUGGUGCAGGGGUAAAAACUCCGGUGGUAUGAGAUGGACCCGCGUCUGAUUAGCUAGUUGGUGGGGUAACGGCCUACCAAGGCGACGAUCAGUAGCCGACCUGAGAGGGUGACCGGCCACAUUGGGACUGAGACACGGCCCAAACUCCUACGGGAGGCAGCAGUGGGGAAUAUUGCACAAUGGGGGAAACCCUGAUGCAGCGACGCCGCGUGAAGGAUGAAGUAUUUCGGUAUGUAAACUUCUAUCAGCAGGGAAGAAAAUGACGGUACCUGACUAAGAAGCCCCGGCUAACUACGUGCCAGCAGCCGCGGUAAUACGUAGGGGGCAAGCGUUAUCCGGAUUUACUGGGUGUAAAGGGAGCGUAGACGGUAUGGCAAGUCUGAUGUGAAAGGCCAGGGCUCAACCCUGGGACUGCAUUGGAAACUGUCGAACUAGAGUGUCGGAGAGGCAAGUGGAAUUCCUAGUGUAGCGGUGAAAUGCGUAGAUAUUAGGAGGAACACCAGUGGCGAAGGCGGCUUGCUGGACGAUGACUGACGUUGAGGCUCGAAAGCGUGGGGAGCAAACAGGAUUAGAUACCCUGGUAGUCCACGCCGUAAACGAUGACUACUAGGUGUCGGGUAGCAGAGCUAUUCG
Molecule: ribosomal RNA, 791 nt
Filed under: uncultured bacterium
Lineage: Bacteria
Description: bacterial SSU rRNA
Rfam family: Bacterial small subunit ribosomal RNA
Source: RNAcentral